RNAcentral lists this ribosomal RNA (253 nucleotides) under uncultured prokaryote. Its description in RNAcentral is "partial 16S ribosomal RNA". It matches the Rfam family "Bacterial small subunit ribosomal RNA", at positions 524 to 776 of the family's 1533-position model. The record is from RNAcentral.
UACAGAGGGUGCAAGCGUUAAUCGGAAUUACUGGGCGUAAAGCGUGCGUAGUCGGUUAUCUAAGUCGGGUGUGAAAUCCCCAGGCUCAACUUGGGAACUGCAUCCGAUACUGGAUGGCUUGAAUUCGGGAGAGGGAUGCAGAAUUCCAGGUGUAGCGGUGAAAUGCGUAGAUAUCUGGAGGAAUACCGGUGGCGAAGGCGGCAUCCUGGACCGACAUUGACGCUGAACGGCGAAAGCUAGGGGAGCAAACGGG